AUUGAACGCUGGCGGCAUGCUUUACACAUGCAAGUCGAACGGCAGCGCAGGCUGCGGUCUGGCUGCGAGUGGCGGACGGGCGGGUAAUGCAGCAGAACAUCCCCAUCUAUUUUGUCUAGGCCGGCGAAGGCCGGAUUAAUACCGCAAUACACCAGACGAUGAACGCGGGGGAGCAAAAGGCCUUCCGCUAUUGGGCGGGCGGAUGUCGGAUUAGCUAGUUGGCGGGGUAAAGGCUUACCAAGGCGACGAUCCGUAGCUGGUCUGAGAGGACGACCAGCCACACUGGAACUGAGACACGGCCCAGACUCCUACGGGAGGCAGCAGUGGGGAAUUUUGGACAAUGGGGGCAAGCCUGAUCCAGCCAUGCCGCGUGCGGGAAGAAGGCCUUCGGGUUGUAAAGCGCUUUUGUUGGGGAAGAAAAGCUGUAGGCUAAUACCCCGCGGGGAUGACGGUACCGGAAGAAUAAGCACCGGCUAACUACGUG
This 484-nucleotide ribosomal RNA is filed under the name uncultured bacterium. RNAcentral's name for it is "partial 16S ribosomal RNA". It matches the Rfam family "Bacterial small subunit ribosomal RNA", at positions 29 to 507 of the family's 1533-position model. The record is from RNAcentral.